AUUGAACGCUGGCGGAAUGCUUUACACAUGCAAGUCGAGCGGCAGCGCGGGGCAACCUGGCGGCGAGCGGCGAACGGGUGAGUAAUACAUCGGAACGUGCCCAGACGUGGGGGGAUAACUACUCGAAAGAGUGGCUAAUACCGCAUACGAUCUACGGAUGAAAGCGGGGGAUCGCAAGACCUCGCGCGUCUGGAGCGGCUGAUGGCAGAUUAGGUAGUUGGUGGGAUAAAAGCCUACCAAGCCAACGAUCUGUAGCUGGUCUGAGAGGAUGAUCAGCCACACUGGGACUGAGACACGGCCCAGACUCCUACGGGAGGCAGCAGUGGGGAAUUUUGGACAAUGGGCGAAAGCCUGAUCCAGCCAUUCCGCGUGCAGGAUGAAGCGUUUCGGCGUGUAAACUGCUUUUAUCACCGAAGAUUAUGACUGUAGGUGAAGAAUAAGGACCGGCUAACUACGUGCCAGCAGCCGCGGUAAU
Molecule: ribosomal RNA, 475 nt
Filed under: uncultured bacterium
Lineage: Bacteria
Description: bacterial SSU rRNA
Rfam family: Bacterial small subunit ribosomal RNA
Source: RNAcentral